This 256-nucleotide ribosomal RNA is filed under the name uncultured soil bacterium. Its description in RNAcentral is "partial 16S ribosomal RNA". It matches the Rfam family "Bacterial small subunit ribosomal RNA", at positions 26 to 310 of the family's 1533-position model. The record is from RNAcentral.
AGAACGAACGCUGGCGGCAUGCCUAAUACAUGCAAGUCGAACGAACACUUCGGUGUUAGUGGCGCACGGGUGCGUAACGCGUGGGAAUCUGCCCUUGGGUUCGGAAUAACAGUUGGAAACGACUGCUAAUACCGGAUGAUAUCGAAAGAUCAAAGAUUUAUCGCCCAGGGAUGAGCCCGCGUAGGAUUAGCUAGUUGGUGAGGUAAAGGCUCACCAAGGCGACGAUCCUUAGCUGGUCUGAGAGGAUGAUCAGCCA